Molecule: long non-coding RNA, 179 nt
Organism: Sapajus apella (tufted capuchin)
Lineage: Eukaryota; Metazoa; Chordata; Mammalia; Primates; Cebidae
Exons: 2
Source: RefSeq, a predicted model, not a curated record
ACAGCCAAGCUCCCCUAACAAAGGGAGGUUCAGCCUUUAUAUAGGCUUAUACUUUAGAUGUUUCAUGUGGAAGAAUUUUAAGUUUAUAUUUUAGGACUCACAUGUGGAAAGGUUUUAGUUUACAAUUUUAGGAAUUACAUAUGAAAGGGUUCCAGUUUACAGUUUUAGGACUUACAUGU